RNAcentral lists this long non-coding RNA (978 nucleotides) under Phaseolus vulgaris (common bean). RNAcentral describes it as "long non-coding RNA (PVUL_LNC005227)". Lineage: Eukaryota; Viridiplantae; Streptophyta; Magnoliopsida; Fabales; Fabaceae. The record is from RNAcentral.
CCUUUUGUACAUUUAGCUGUUUAUUUCUUUAUUACAGUUCUUAUAGAGUAGCUUAAUCAGCAUAAAAAUAUCACUAUCAUCAGUUUUUUUUAAAGCCAGCUGCUAAAAAAGAUCAAAUACAAGAGUUAGCAGAUACUGCAUACUUCCUAUGCUGCAUAAUUGGUAAUAAACCAACCAAUUUGCACCGAUUGUCAUCCAAAUACAGCCCUAAACAAAAAUUCUAUAGAAAACUACCAAUUAUAUGAAUAACUUGCCAAUUACAACAGCAGAUUGGAAGAAACUGCACGAAGGUGUUUUGCUGCAUAAUUUGCAGCAGCAGUCCUUCAUAAGAAUAUGCUGCAUAAUUCCAAAGUACUGCAUUACAUAAUUCACUCCAUAUUUCACCCUGUUGAUGUUCUAAUCCAACUAAGACAGAUCACUUGAAUUCAUCUUCAUACAGGAUAAAUCUGAAGAGAGAUAGUCCUGCUGCAGCAAUGAUUCUGCAAACUCCCCUGCCCUUAAGCCACUCCCCUGUUCUUAAUAACAGUGCCAAACCGGAGACUUUCCUCUACCAAAGACUCCUGACAGCCCACCCUUUUGAACAACAAAAUGUCUUCCAUCAAACUUGUUAAAUAUCUUCAACAGCAGUAAAAUGCAUAGAUAUACUAAACAAGUUCUGGCCCUUUUCAGAAAUUGUUGCUGUGAAAAUAAAAAACACAACUAAUAGAACUCAUUCAUGGUUGAUGAUUUGAGUCUUGAAAGCUAUGCCAUUUAAACAGUUAUAGAACUUUUGAUAAUCAGAACAUUCAUUCACUUCCAAAUAGUUUAUUUAGUUACCAAAUUAAUAGAGAGGAUGAGACAUUGAAUCCAAUCAGAGGAAGAGAAGUUGGCAUUUUUACCUUACGUUUCUUUCAUGUUCAAGACUAACUGUGUUAGGAUUAAGAUUUCCUCUCCAUAAUCCAUUGCUUGAUUAAAUACUAACCUGUUUCUAUGUUUUCA